GGAAGGAUCAUUAUCGAAAUAAAUAAUCUAUAAACCUUUUACACCUGUGCACCCACUGUAUGUAGCUCGACCUCGUCGUCGACCUAUGUAUGUUAUUUCUACACUAUUGCAUGUAAUGAAUGAAUGAGUUGGGAAUAAUAAACAAAUAUACAACUUUCAGCAAUGGAUCUCUUGGCUCUCGCAUCGAUGACGAACGCAGCGAAUUGCGAUAAGUAAUGUGAAUUGCAGAUUUUCAGUGAAUCAUCGAAUCUUUGAACGCACCUUGCGCUCCCUGGUAUUCCGAGGAGCAUGCCUGUUUGAGUGUCAUUUCAGUUCUCAACCAAGUGGCUAUCGCUAGUUAAUCUUGGAUUGGACUUUGGGAGUUUGCUGGCUUUGAUCGAGUCAGCUCUUCUGAAAUGAAUGAGCGAUCGGACAAGCAAGUCUUGGAUGGCCUUUGGAUGUGAUAAUGAUCGUCCGAGGUCUGUCUGACUUGAAUGGAUGAAUGCUUAACGACCGCUAGUUAUUAGUCCUAGUACGAACACAGCGGUGCACUUUGAACUUGACCUCAAAUCAGGUAGGACUACCCGCUGAACUUAAGCAUAUCAAUAAGCGGAGGAAAAGAAACUAACAAGGAUUCCCCUAGUAACUGCGAGUGAAGCGGGAUAAGCUCAAAUUUUGAAUCUGACGGUCACUUGGACUGUUCGAGUUGUAAUCUAGAGAAGCGUCUUCCGCGCUGGACCCGUGUACAAGUCUCCUGGAAGGGAGCGUCAUAGAGGGUGAGAAUCCCGUCUUUGACAUGGAGAACCAGUGCUAUGUGAUGCGCUCUCGACGAGUCGAGUUGUUUGGGAAUGCAGCUCAAAACGGGUGGUAAACUCCAUCUAAAGCUAAAUAUGGGCGAGAGACCGAUAGCGAACAAGUACCGUGAGGGAAAGAUGAAAAGAACUUUGGAAAGAGAGUUAAACAGUAUGUGAAAUUGCUGAAAGGGAAACGCUUGAUGUCAGUCGCGUCUACUGGGGAUCAACCUUGGCUUUAUUGCUGGGCGUACUUCCCGGUCGACGGGUCAGCAUCAGUUUCGGAUCGCUGUACAAAGUCAAGGGGAAUGUGGCACUCUUCGGAGUGUGUUAUAGCCUCUCGUCGGAUGCAGUGGUAGGGACUGAGGAACUCAGCACGGCUUCAUUGCUUGUGCUUAGGAUGCUGGCAUAAUGGCCUUAAGCGACCCGUCUUGAAACACGGACCAAGGAGUCUAACAUGCAUGCGAGUGUUUGGGUGACUAAACUCUUGCGCGAAAUGAAAGUGAAAGUUGAGACCUCUGUCGUGGAGGGCAUCGACGCCCGGACCCAAGUCUUUGACGAGGGAUCUGCGGUAGAGCAUGCAUGUUGGGACCCGAAAGAUGGUGAACUAUGCCUGAAUAGGGUGAAGCCAGAGGAAACUCUGGUGGAGGCUCGUAGCGAUUCUGACGUGCAAAUCGAUCGUCGAAUUUGGGUAUAGGGGCGAAAGACUAAUCGAACCAUCUAGUAGCUGGUUCCUGC
This 1508-nucleotide unclassified non-coding RNA is filed under the name uncultured fungus. Its description in RNAcentral is "sequence contains 18S rRNA gene, ITS1, 5.8S rRNA gene, ITS2, 28S rRNA gene". The stretch from base 540 to 1508 matches the Rfam family "Eukaryotic large subunit ribosomal RNA", at positions 1 to 961 of the family's 3401-position model. The record is from RNAcentral. Lineage: Eukaryota; Fungi.